This 490-nucleotide ribosomal RNA is filed under the name uncultured bacterium. Its description in RNAcentral is "bacterial SSU rRNA". It matches the Rfam family "Bacterial small subunit ribosomal RNA", at positions 16 to 507 of the family's 1533-position model. The record is from RNAcentral.
AUCCUGGCUCAGGAUGAACGCUAGCGGCAGGCUUAACACAUGCAAGUCGAGGGGUAUAGUUCUUCGGAAUUAGAGACCGGCGCACGGGUGCGUAACGCGUAUGCAAUCUACCUUUUGCAGAGGGAUAGCCCAGAGAAAUUUGGAUUAAUACCUCAUAGUAUAGUACUUUGGCAUCAAGGAACUAUUAAAGUCACAACGGCAAAAGAUGAGUAUGCGUCCCAUUAGCUAGAUGGUAAGGUAACGGCUUACCAUGGCAAUGAUGGGUAGGGGUCCUGAGAGGGAGAUCCCCCACACUGGUACUGAGACACGGACCAGACUCCUACGGGAGGCAGCAGUGAGGAAUAUUGGACAAUGGGCGCAAGCCUGAUCCAGCCAUGCCGCGUGCAGGAAUAAGGUCCUAUGGAUUGUAAACUGCUUUUAUACAGGAAGAAACACACCCUCGUGAGGGUACUUGACGGUACUGUAUGAAUAAGGACCGGCUAACUCCGUG